Molecule: ribosomal RNA, 253 nt
Filed under: uncultured bacterium
Lineage: Bacteria
Description: partial 16S ribosomal RNA
Rfam family: Bacterial small subunit ribosomal RNA
Source: RNAcentral
CACGUAGGGCGCAAGCGUUGUCCGGAAUUAUUGGGCGUAAAGAGCUCGUAGGUGGUUUGCUGCGUCCGCUGUGAAAACCCAAGGCUUAACCUUGGGCUUGCAGUGGAUACGGGCAGACUAGAGGUAGGUAGGGGAGAAUGGAAUUCCCGGUGUAGCGGUGAAAUGCGCAGAUAUCGGGAGGAACACCGGUGGCGAAGGCGGUUCUCUGGGCCAAUAUUGACGCUGAGGUGCGAAAGCGUGGGGAGCAAACAGG